This 82-nucleotide small nucleolar RNA is filed under the name Arabidopsis suecica. RNAcentral's name for it is "snoR44_J54". It matches the Rfam family "Small nucleolar RNA R44/J54/Z268 family". Rfam says of the family: R44, J54 and Z268 are members of the C/D class of snoRNA which contain the C (UGAUGA) and D (CUGA) box motifs. The record is from RNAcentral. RNAcentral also lists the same sequence under 2 other names. Lineage: Eukaryota; Viridiplantae; Streptophyta; Magnoliopsida; Brassicales; Brassicaceae.
AGUGCAAGUGACGAUGAAAAGACAGGGACAUCAGAAAUUAGAAUGAUGACUAAUGUCUAAAUGGGAAUCUCUCUGAUGCACA